Molecule: ribosomal RNA, 253 nt
Filed under: uncultured bacterium
Lineage: Bacteria
Description: partial 16S ribosomal RNA
Rfam family: Bacterial small subunit ribosomal RNA
Source: RNAcentral
UACGUAGGGUGCGAGCGUUGUCCGGAAUUAUUGGGCGUAAAGGGCUCGUAGGCGGUUUGUCGCGUCGGGAGUGAAAACUCAGGGCUUAACUCUGAGCCUGCUUCCGAUACGGGCAGACUAGAGGUAUGCAGGGGAGAACGGAAUUCCUGGUGUAGCGGUGAAAUGCGCAGAUAUCAGGAGGAACACCGGUGGCGAAGGCGGUUCUCUGGGCAUGACCUGACGCUGAGGAGCGAAAGUGUGGGGAGCGAACAGG